Molecule: long non-coding RNA, 302 nt
Organism: Mercenaria mercenaria
Lineage: Eukaryota; Metazoa; Mollusca; Bivalvia; Venerida; Veneridae
Exons: 2
Source: RefSeq, a predicted model, not a curated record
ACAAUUGAAACGCCGCUUUCAUGUCCUUCAUUCUGAAAUAAGACUGGCACCAUCUAAGGUUUGUCGAGUUGUAUGUGCUUGUGUUGCACUUUUCAACAUAGCGAUCUUGUUGAAUGAGCCUGAACUUGAUGACUGGAACCAGGAUGAAGCUGUAGACCUGGAAAAUGAAGACAUAGCCGAUGCAGAAAGAGAUGGCAGCACUGUUCGAAAUUUUAUUGUGCAUCAAUAUUUUGCAUAAUACUCAGAAAUGAAAUAAAUAGAAACUCAGCUGUCAAAUAAUAAAUACGCUGUUAUGAACUUAA